RNAcentral lists this ribosomal RNA (253 nucleotides) under uncultured bacterium. RNAcentral describes it as "partial 16S ribosomal RNA". It matches the Rfam family "Bacterial small subunit ribosomal RNA", at positions 524 to 776 of the family's 1533-position model. The record is from RNAcentral.
UACAGAGGGUGCGAGCGUUAAUCGGAAUUACUGGGCGUAAAGCGUGCGUAGACGGUUAUUUAAGUCGGGUGUGAAAGCCCCGGGCUCAACCUGGGAACUGCAUUUGGGACUGCAAGGCUGGAGUACGGCAGAGGGAGGUGGAAUUCCACGUGUAGCAGUGAAAUGCGUAGAGAUGUGGAGGAACACCGAUGGCGAAGGCAGCCUCCUGGGCUAGUACUGACGCUCAUGCACGAAAGCGUGGGGAGCAAACAGG